Molecule: transfer RNA, 73 nt
Organism: Ovis aries (sheep)
Lineage: Eukaryota; Metazoa; Chordata; Mammalia; Artiodactyla; Bovidae
Rfam family: tRNA
About the family: Transfer RNA (tRNA) molecules are approximately 80 nucleotides in length.
Source: Rfam
UCCCUGGUGAGUCAGGGGCUGAGAUUCUGCACUGUCAACGCAGGGAGCCCAGGUUCGAUCCCUGGUCAGGGAA